GACCUCUUGGUUAGCGGCGGACGGGUGAGUAACACGUGGGCAACCUGCCUGUAAGACUGGGAUAACUUCGGGAAACCGGAGCUAAUACCGGAUAAUCCUUUUUCUCCCAUGAGGAAAAGCUGAAAGUCGGUUUACGCUGACACUUACAGAUGGGCCCGCGGCGCAUUAGCUAGUUGGUGAGGUAACGGCUCACCAAGGCGACGAUGCGUAGCCGACCUGAGAGGGUGAUCGGCCACACUGGGACUGAGACACGGCCCAGACUCAUACGGGAGGCAGCAGUAGGGAAUCUUCCGCAAUGGACGAAAGUCUGACGGAGCAACGCCGCGUGAGCGAUGAAGGCCUUCGGGUCGUAAAGCUCUGUUGUUAGGGAAGAACAAGUACCGGUGUAACUGCCGGUACCUUGACGGUACCUAACCAGAAAGCCACGGCUAACUACGUGCCAGCAGCCGCGGUAAUACGUAGGUGGCAAGCGUUGUCCGGAAUUAUUGGGCGUAAAGCGCGCGCAGGCGGUCCUUUAAGUCUGAUGUGAAAGCCCACGGCUCAACCGUGGAGGGUCAUUGGAAACUGGGGGACUUGAGUACAGAAGAGGAAAGCGGAAUUCCACGUGUAGCGGUGAAAUGCGUAGAGAUGUGGAGGAACACCAGUGGCGAAGGCGGCUUUCUGGUCUGUAACUGACGCUGAGGCGCGAAAGCGUGGGGAGCAAACAGGAUUAGAUACCCUGGUAGUCCACGCCGUAAACGAUGAGUGCUAAGUGUUAGAGGGUUUCCGCCCUUUAGUGCUGCAGCUAACGCAUUAAGCACUCCGCCUGGGGAGUACGGCCGCAAGGCUGAAACUCAAAGGAAUUGACGGG
Molecule: ribosomal RNA, 850 nt
Filed under: uncultured bacterium
Lineage: Bacteria
Description: bacterial SSU rRNA
Rfam family: Bacterial small subunit ribosomal RNA
Source: RNAcentral